RNAcentral lists this ribosomal RNA (1042 nucleotides) under Shigella flexneri. RNAcentral's name for it is "partial 23S ribosomal RNA". It matches the Rfam family "Bacterial large subunit ribosomal RNA", at positions 1 to 1074 of the family's 2925-position model. The record is from RNAcentral. Lineage: Bacteria; Pseudomonadati; Pseudomonadota; Gammaproteobacteria; Enterobacterales; Enterobacteriaceae.
GGGUUGUGAGGUUAAGCGACUAAGCGUACACGGUGGAUGCCCUGGCAGUCAGAGGCGAUGAAGGACGUGCUAAUCUGCGAUAAGCGUCGGUAAGGUGAUAUGAACCGUUAUAACCGGCGAUUUCCGAAUGGGGAAACCCAGUGUGAUUCGUCACACUAUCAUUAACUGAAUCCAUAGGUUAAUGAGGCGAACCGGGGGAACUGAAACAUCUAAGUACCCCGAGGAAAAGAAAUCAACCGAGAUUCCCCCAGUAGCGGCGAGCGAACGGGGAGCAGCCCAGAGCCUGAAUCAGUGUGUGUGUUAGUGGAAGCGUCUGGAAAGGCGUGCGAUACAGGGUGACAGCCCCGUACACAAAAAUGCACAUACUGUGAGCUCGAUGAGUAGGGCGGGACACGUGGUAUCCUGUCUGAAUAUGGGGGGACCAUCCUCCAAGGCUAAAUACUCCUGACUGACCGAUAGUGAACCAGUACCGUGAGGGAAAGGCGAAAAGAACCCCGGCGAGGGGAGUGAAAAAGAACCUGAAACCGUGUACGUACAAGCAGUGGGAGCACGCUUAGGCGUGUGACUGCGUACCUUUUGUAUAAUGGGUCAGCGACUUAUAUUCUGUAGCAAGGUUAACCGAAUAGGGGAGCCGAAGGGAAACCGAGUCUUAACUGGGCGUUAAGUUGCAGGGUAUAGACCCGAAACCCGGUGAUCUAGCCAUGGGCAGGUUGAAGGUUGGGUAACACUAACUGGAGGACCGAACCGACUAAUGUUGAAAAAUUAGCGGAUGACUUGUGGCUGGGGGUGAAAGGCCAAUCAAACCGGGAGAUAGCUGGUUCUCCCCGAAAGCUAUUUAGGUAGCGCCUCGUGAAUUCAUCUCCGGGGGUAGAGCACUGUUUCGGCAAGGGGGUCAUCCCGACUUACCAACCCGAUGCAAACUGCGAAUACCGGAGAAUGUUAUUACGGGAGACACACGGCGGGUGCUAACGUCCGUCGUGAAGAGGGAAACAACCCAGACCGCCAGCUAAGGUCCCAAAGUCAUGGUUAAGUGGGAAACGAU